Molecule: long non-coding RNA, 1095 nt
Filed under: Oryctolagus cuniculus (rabbit)
Lineage: Eukaryota; Metazoa; Chordata; Mammalia; Lagomorpha; Leporidae
Description: lncRNA (ENSOCUG00000038181.1)
Source: RNAcentral
AUGGCUUCUAGACAGCAGGGUUCGUCUGUCGGGAUUCAGGCAAACAGUGCUCCGAUCUCCUCACAUCCCCUGGGGCCUCAUGGCAGGGUCCCCCAGGGGCAGCCUAAGCUGCCUCUCCCCCCAGUUUGCUUGAUGUUCUUCCGGGGCCGUGCAGGUGAGCAGCUGGGAGGUGGGCAAAGCUGGCUCCGUGUUGGGAGCGGAGAGGUAGCGGGGUGGGGCCGGGAGGGCGCGUUGGUUUGUUUGUUUCAGUGGGUGGGUGCGGCCCCCGCCACGUCCCCACUGGGGCCUGGGAGACGUAAACAAGGAGGUGGGCGUCGGAAGAGAGAGGGGCAUCGAAGGGGAGGCAGGUCCUGGCGGCGGGGUGGUCCCGGCGGCUGCCCGCGCUUUCGUCUCGUCGCAGCUUUGAGCCUGGGGCUGGGGUUUGCCGAGGGGGAAAGGGCUGCUCGCACUCAGUAUCGGGGCGAGUUUUCCUUUGUUACUCGGAAGGCUGGACACUUGGGUGGAGCGUGGUGGUGUGAGUGUGGACACGGAGCAAUGCAAGGGGGCGUGAGGGGCGGCGGGGCGGUGGGCAGCAGGAGGGGGCCGCCGAGGAGGGGCAGGGCUUCCAGCACCCGGGGCUUCAGGAAGCUCUUGCAUCUCUUGGGUUCAUCCGUUUUGGCGAUCGAUCCAAUCCCAUCUUCUUUGCAUGGCUCCUGGGUCGCCAUCCCCUUCUCUCCCCAGCGGGGCUGCCCCUUUUUGUCUCCCUGGGUUUCACGCAGAGUUUGGGUGAGCAGCCUGGGUCUUGCUCUUACAAGUGGUGGCUGGCGGAGAAGGCGCCCGAGGGUGAGAGCGGCAGGCAGCCAGGCUGGACGCGUGGGGCCUGGGGAGGCCCCUGCAGCCAGCCUUCAGGCCUGCCCAGGCUCCUGCCAGACCUGCACCUUGUGUGGUCUUCGGAGAGUGCAUGUCCAGGGGAAGACGUUCCUCCUGGCUUCCAGUGGCUGCUGGGCUGACCGAGGAUCUGUUUCAUGCAGGCAUCCGGUGCACUGUUUAAGUGUCUGCUAUGUGAUUGCUGCCGGGGACAUGACCGUCAGGAGGGAAGCACAGCCCUUGGUCUGA